AUUGAACGCUGGCGGCAGGCCUAACACAUGCAAGUCGAGCGCGCGGCGGAAGGGUGAGUACUGUCUGGGAGACUGCCCGAUGGAGGGGGAUAACUACGGGAAAAGGUAGCUAAUAUCGCAUACCAUCAGAUGUGCCCAGAUGGGAUUAGCUCGGAGGUGGGGUAAUGGCUCACCUAGGCGACGAUCCCUAGCUGGUCUGAGAGGAUGACCCGCCACACGGGAACUGAGACACGGUCCAGACUCCUACGAGAGGCAGCAGUGGGGAAUAUUGCACAAUGGGCGCAAGCCUGAUACAGCCAUGCCGCGUGUAUGAAGAAGGCCUUCGGGUUGUAAAGUACUUUCAGCGAGGAGGCGUUACUCGCAGAAGAAGCACCGGCUAACUCCGUGCCAGCAGCCGCGGUAAUUC
Molecule: ribosomal RNA, 406 nt
Filed under: uncultured bacterium
Lineage: Bacteria
Description: partial 16S ribosomal RNA
Rfam family: Bacterial small subunit ribosomal RNA
Source: RNAcentral